Molecule: ribosomal RNA, 465 nt
Filed under: uncultured bacterium
Lineage: Bacteria
Description: partial 16S ribosomal RNA
Rfam family: Bacterial small subunit ribosomal RNA
Source: RNAcentral
GACGAACGCUGGCGGCGUGCUUAACACAUGCAAGUCGAACGGAAAGGCCCCCUUGUGGGGUACUCGAGUGGCGAACGGGUGAGUAACACGUGAGUAACCUACCCUUGACUUUGGGAUAACUUCAGGAAACUGGGGCUAAUACCGGAUAGGAGCUCCUGCUGCAUGGUGGGGGUUGGAAAGUUUCGGCGGUUGGGGAUGGACUCGCGGCUUAUCAGCUUGUUGGUGGGGUAGUGGCUCACCAAGGCUUUGACGGGUAGCCGGCCUGAGAGGGUGACCGGCCACAUUGGGACUGAGAUACGGCCCAGACUCCUACGGGAGGCAGCAGUGGGGAAUAUUGCACAAUGGGCGGAAGCCUGAUGCAGCAACGCCGCGUGCGGGAUGACGGCCUUCAGGUUGUAAACCGCUUUCGCCUGUGACGAAGCGUGAGUGACGGUAAUGGGUAAAGAAGCACCGGCUAACUACGUG